Long non-coding RNA from Triticum aestivum (bread wheat), 952 nucleotides. RefSeq lists it as uncharacterized. The record is from RefSeq and is a predicted model, not a curated record. NCBI's taxonomy places the organism in Eukaryota, Viridiplantae, Streptophyta, Magnoliopsida, Poales, Poaceae. The transcript has 4 exons.
GCGUGCCGCCGGUCGCGCUCGCAGCCGCCCCGCUCGGCGCACCCACCUCGCUCGAGGUUGGGCGAGCGCGGAAGUAGAGUUCGGGACGGCGGAUCGGAAUCCAUCGACCGAUUCUCUCUUUCUCUCCUCUCCCUUGGAUUCCUGUAGGCGGUGGAUCAAUCUUGCCUUCGUGGUGGCGGCAGAACGAGCGCCGUGAGAUCAGGUGGACCUGCUUCUGAUUCCUCCUGGUGCUUGGGACGUUUUCGGCUAGAUUGAUUUACUAGCUACGUCCAAGCAGGCCACUGGAUUGAUUUCAUGAGGCUUACUAGCUACGUCCCAAUCAAGAUAGCUAGACUUACUAGCUACGUCCCAAGCAGGCCAAUCCAAUAUGUUGAUCAAUUUGAUUGUUCUGGCUGGAGGUCAGGAGGUCAGAAGGUGCGUCCUUCACACUAAAUCGUACCCGAAGUUCUACAAUUAGCGUUCACUACUAUGAAAGAAGAAGGCAUAUAUUUUCCUUGUGGAAUUUCCAGUAGAAUGGCAGUGAGAACGAGUAAAAUCUACAACAGUAUGACUGUAUGGUUCUCACUCAAAGUAGAGGCCCAACAAACUUUUUUGAAGUAGGAGUCGAAAACUACAAAUCCAUCUAUUCCUAGAAUGGAGCUGGUUGGAGUUGAGCCUACAAUUGAGCGGGUAGUUCGGUGGCACUGACAUCUAGCUGAAAGUUUUAUAGGAGGGUUAGUAAAGCAAAUUUGUUCAUGAGGAAAUGUGCCAGCAAAACAUUGAGUCAGAGUGCAAGACAAAUGCUCUUAACAGUUUUUUUGUCGCUUUUCUUUAAUUACAAUUCUUAUUAUUUUUAGUUGGCAUUGAUGUACAAAAGAAAAUCCUGUGCCUUUUUUUUCUCUCAUUGACCAUUGUAUUUUUGAGUCAUAUCAGUCUAUGUAAAAGAAUUCAGUACCUUAUGUUUUGUAUAUUU